AUGAAUCUGCUAUCCUGGAACUGUCGAGGCUUGGGGUUGGACUCCACAGUGGGCAAACUUCGCGACCUGGUUAGGUGUCACAACCUAGCGGUGGUUUUCUUAUUUGAGACAAAGAAAGAAGCUAGAGCGAUGGACAAACUUAAAUGGAGUUUGGGCUUCAAGAAUGGGGUGGCGGUGGAUUGUGUGGGCAGGAGUGGGGGUUUGGCCCUCUGGUGGAGAGAUGAUAUUCAAGUUACAGUUAAACCAUGGUGCCAAUACUUUAUUGAUGCUGAAAUUAUCUGUGACAGCAAAACCUCAAGAGUCACUGGAUUCUAUGGGGAGCCGAACACGGAGAUGAGGAAGAAAUCGUGGGAUGUAAUCAGAUAUUUACGGAGGCAAAAUGAUCUCCCUUGGAUUUGUGUGGGUGACUUCAACGAGGCAUUAUUCGAAACAGACCAAGUUGGAGGCAACACAAGGAGUUUUACUCGCAUGGAGGAUUUUAGGGACUGUUUGGCCGACAGCGGUCUUACAGACUUGGGCUUCUCCUGA
RNAcentral lists this ribosomal RNA (528 nucleotides) under Triticum aestivum (bread wheat). RNAcentral describes it as "partial small subunit ribosomal RNA". The record is from RNAcentral. Lineage: Eukaryota; Viridiplantae; Streptophyta; Magnoliopsida; Poales; Poaceae.